AACGAAACGCCGGCGGCAGGUUCACACACGCAAGUUCGACGAGAAACGCCCCGGGCUUCGCCGGGGCAAGUCACAGCGGCGGAACGGGCGCGUCAUCGCGUCGAUAACCUCCUCUCAGAGCGCGGGAACAAAUCGCGGGAAAACUCGCGGCUAAUACCGCACGUUCUUCGGCCCCCGCAAGGGGGCCAGAAGAAAGCUCGGGUUCGCCCGGGCGCCUUCGGAUGGGUCUGCGUUGGAUUAGCUUGUUGGUGAGGCAACGGCUCACCAAGGCAACGAUUCCAUAGCUGGUCUGAGAGGACGAUCAGUCACACUGGGACUGAGACACGGCCCAGACUCCUACGGGAGGCAGCAGUGGGGAAUCUUGCACAAUGGGGUCACCCCUGAUGCAGCCAUGCCGCGUGGAGGAAGACACCCCUAUGGGGCGUAAACUCCUUUUCUGAACGAAGAAACCCCUGUAGGUUCAGGGCGCGACGGUAGUUCAGGAAUAAGCACCGGCUAACUCCGUGCCAGCAGCCGCGGUAAUACGGGGGGUGCAAGCGUUGUCCGGAAUCACUGGGUGUAAAGGGUGCGCAGGCGGGGCAGCAAGUCGGAUGUGAAACCCCAUGGCUCAACCAUGGAGGUGCAUUCGAAACUGUUGCUCUUGAGUCCCGGAGAGGUUGCCGGAAUUCGUGGUGUAGCGGUGAAAUGCGUAGAUAUCACGAGGAACACCAGAGGCGAAAGCGGGCAACUGGACGGGUACUGACGCUCAGGCACGAAAGCGUGGGGAGCAAACAGGAUUAGAUACCCUGGUAGUUCACGCGGUAAUCGACGAAGGAUAGCAGUUAUCCUGCCUGAGGGACAGUGAGUACGGUCAAGCUUUAAGCGUUCCACUUGGCGAGUACGAUAGCAAGGUCGAAACUCAAACUAAAAGACGGGGGAUCGGACAAGCGGCGGCGCAUGUGGAUCAGUUCGAUGCAACGCGACGAGCCAUACGUAGGACCGUACGUAAUAGGACCGUUCUUGUCAGGGAGCUUCCCAUUGGCUGCUCGUAGCGAGGUGACGCAUGGCAGUCGUCAGAUGGUGUCGUGAGAUGGAGGGGAGAGUCCCUCAACGAGCGUAAUCAUCGUCCGUAGUUACCAGCGGGUAGUGCCGUGGACUCUACCGAGAACGCUUGCGCAAGCAGUGAGGACGAGGGGGAUGACGUCAAGUCAUCAUGCUCGUUAUGCCGAGGGCUGCACACGCUGGUACAACGGUCGGUACAACGAGCGGCCACGUCGCGCGAGGGAGCGAAUCUAUCAAAGACCAUCGUAAUGGGGAUUGGGGUGUGCAAAUACGACUCCAUCACGCGCGAAUGGAUCGUAAUCGCGGAUCAGCAAUGCCGCGGUGAUCUUCGUGCCCUGGCUUCCUACACACCGCCCGUCAAGCCAGAGACGCUACGAGCACCCAAAGUCCGUGACUCAGCUCCGCCACUGCGCUGGAGCGGGAGCGGCCGAAGGUGAGGUUAGUGACUGUGGUU
This 1495-nucleotide ribosomal RNA is filed under the name uncultured bacterium. RNAcentral describes it as "bacterial SSU rRNA". It matches the Rfam family "Bacterial small subunit ribosomal RNA". The record is from RNAcentral.